This 338-nucleotide ribosomal RNA is filed under the name uncultured bacterium. Its description in RNAcentral is "bacterial SSU rRNA". It matches the Rfam family "Bacterial small subunit ribosomal RNA", at positions 1 to 334 of the family's 1533-position model. The record is from RNAcentral.
CUAGCGACUUCAGAGUUUGAUCCUGGCUCAGGACGAACGCUGGCGGCGUGCCUAACACAUGCAAGUCGAACGAAGUGAGGACUUCGGUUUUCACUUAGUGGCGGACGGGUGAGUAACGCGUGAGUAACCUGCCUUUCAGAGGGGGAUAGCGUUUGGAAACGAACGGUAAUACCGCAUGACAUCAUGGAACUGCAUGGUUCUAUGAUCAAAGGAGCAAUCCGCUGAAAGAUGGACUCGCGUCCGAUUAGCUAGUUGGCGGGAUAACAGCCCACCAAGGCGACGAUCGGUAGCCGAACUGAGAGGUUGAUCGGCCACAUUGGGACUGAGACACGGCCCAG